GAUGAACGCUAGCGGGAGGCCUAACACAUGCAAGCCGAGCGGUAUUUGUUCUUCGGAACAGAGAGAGCGGCGCACGGGUGCGGAACACGUGUGCAACCUGCCUUUAUCUGGGUGAUAGCCUUUCGAAAGGAAGAUUAAUACCCCAUAAUAUAUUGAGUGGCAUCACUUGAUAUUGAAAACUCCGGUGGAUAGAGAUGGGCACGCGCAAGAUUAGAUAGUUGGUGAGGUAACGGCUCACCAAGUCAAUGAUCUUUAGGGGGCCUGAGAGGGUGAUCCCCCACACUGGUACUGAGACACGGACCAGACUCCUACGGGAGGCAGCAGUGAGGAAUAUUGGACAAUGGGUUAGCGCCUGAUCCAGCCAUCCCGCGUGAAGGACGACGGCCCUAUGGGUUGUAAACUUCUUUUGUAUAGGGAUAAACCUACUCUCGUGAGAGUAGCUGAAGGUACUAUACGAAUAAGCACCGGCUAACUCCGU
This 478-nucleotide ribosomal RNA is filed under the name uncultured bacterium. Its description in RNAcentral is "partial 16S ribosomal RNA". It matches the Rfam family "Bacterial small subunit ribosomal RNA", at positions 28 to 506 of the family's 1533-position model. The record is from RNAcentral.